RNAcentral lists this long non-coding RNA (2068 nucleotides) under Canis lupus familiaris (dog). RNAcentral's name for it is "lncRNA (ENSCAFG00845004785.1)". The record is from RNAcentral. Lineage: Eukaryota; Metazoa; Chordata; Mammalia; Carnivora; Canidae.
AGAAAAGGCAGAGGGAGAAGCAGGCUCCAGGCAGGGAGCCCGACGCGGGACUCGAUCCCUGGUCUCUAGGAUCAUACCCCGGGCUGAAGGUGGCGCCAGACCGCUGAGCCAUCAGGGCUGCCCUCCAGCCGGACUCUUUUUUUUUUUUUUUUUUUUUUUUUUUUAAUUUUAUUUAUGAUAGUCACAGAGAGAGAGAGAGAGAGGCAGAGACACAGGCAGAGGGAGAAGCAGGCUCCAUGCACUGGGAGCCCGACGUGGGAUUCGAUCCCGGGUCUCCAGGAUCGCGCCCUGGGCCAAAGGCAGGCGCCAAUCCGCUGCGCCACCCAGGGAUCCCCAGCCGGACUCUUUAACAAGGAGUUUGAGAUGGGGAGCCUCUGGCACCUGGGGCACCCUGGACCCACCUGCCGCCCCGUGUUUCUCAUCCCUGGACCCACCUGCCGCCCCGUGGGCCCCCGGAGAGCCUAGAUAGGGCUUCCUUUAAAGCAGCGGUCGUGGCGGCGGGGCUGGAGGUCUGACUGCAUCGCUCCCUAGUUUCCCCUAAUGGCUUAGUGCGUCCCAGCCCACCGUGCCUGCCCCCCACCUGCACCUGCACUUACUCUCGCCACACACCCUAAACCUCAUGGUGUGUCCUGUUUGCCUCCACCCCGACUCCUCCCCACCGGGCCCCAACCCUGGCACUCAGCUGCCCUCAUGGGGUUCAAAACAGGGGAGCAUUUUCUGGUGGUGGGAUUGGGGUGGAGGAGCCAGCAUGCCCAUCGCAGGGACUGGUGAUUGGCCUGGGUGGAGAGAGAGAGCAACAUGCCCAGGCAGUUCUCCAGAAGGAAGGCUGGAGGAAGAGGCAGGAUGGUCUCCUGAGAUGAAUUCAGGAUAGCUCACAGCUCAGGCAGGAGGAACAACCGGCCCUGAGGAUGUGUGUGAGUACCUGAGUGUUGUGUUAUGUGUAUUUCUUUUUUUUCUAAAACCUGUGUGAACUGCACUAACGUGACUAAGCCCUAGCUCUUUCUGGACAGCAGUGCUCAGGAUGGGUAGCCUUAGGGCCAGCUGUAGCCUGUGUAUUCACUAGCGUGGCUUGGCUUCUGGGAGUAGGGGCUGCGUUUUUCUCCUGGGACCAGCUUGUGCUGUGAAGAAAGAAGAAAUGGGCUAUGGUGGGUGGUGGAAGGCGGAUAGUGAAAGGACAGCACUGACUAUUACCAAGCAGACUCCCAUUUACUUCCUCUGCUGGCCGGACACAUUUUGUUUUCUGGUUUGAGAAUAUAACUGUGUUCUGGGUGGCUGCAGCCUUUGACCUUGCCAGAUAUAAGCCUGGUUGGAGCCCCUGGGGCUUGUGCUGGUUUCCUGGGGCUUUGACACCCCUCCCCGCCCCCAGGGCUCUGGGCAUCCUGGAAGGUGAAGGACUCCCAGGACUCACAGAUGAGUUUCUCUCCCCGAAUGGGCUUUGGAUGUUCCCAUCCUUGAACUUCUGUCGGGACAGAACCUGUCCCUCAGUCCUGCUGGGUCCCUGAGACAGCUACGGUUACAAUAUGACUCUGUUGGGUCGGGAGCAGUUGUGAAGAUUUGUGUUUGCUUGAUAGGUGGUCUGAGCCAUAGUCUGUACUGAAGAGUUUGGGUAGAGGUUCCAGAAUGUCUGGUUGGCCAGUUGUCCAUUGGUGCUGUCCUGUACUUAGCUCCUUGCCGGGUUAAGAGGUCAUCUCAUUAAUGUGUUUGUGGCAAAAUUGCUUUGGUGUGGUCUCUUGAGACUGAGCACAAGUGGAAGAAGGUGGGAGGGUGAGGAUAGGAGGGUAUUGCAACCUGUUUAGAGGUGACAAAAGUGGUCUGAAUGGGCAAGUGGAUGUCUUAGAUUAACAUUCAUUGUUUGAAAGGGAUUGAGGGGGUCCUGAGGUUUAUAGGCAAAUAAUUAUUAUUAUAAAUACCUAUACAUAUAAAUUAUAUAAUCUUAAAUAUAAAACCUAGGCUGUCAUAAAGUAUAUAUGUAUAAAAGUAGGUCUAUAUAAAAAAGUAAACAAACAUGUAAAGAAUAAAAAAUGGAAAACUGCCCAAUCUGAAAAAUAGAGAAAAAAAAACAAAAAAA